CGAACACUAGCUCAUCUGGUAGAGCAUCUGUUUAUGGGACAGACGGUAGUCGGUUCAAACCCGACGUGUUAACC
This 74-nucleotide transfer RNA is filed under the name Mycobacterium koreense. Its description in RNAcentral is "Mycolicibacillus koreensis tRNA-His". It matches the Rfam family "tRNA". Rfam says of the family: Transfer RNA (tRNA) molecules are approximately 80 nucleotides in length. Their secondary structure includes four short double-helical elements and three loops (D, anti-codon, and T loops). Further hydrogen bonds mediate the characteristic L-shaped molecular structure. tRNAs have two regions of fundamental functional importance: the anti-codon, which is responsible for specific mRNA codon recognition, and the 3' end, to which the tRNAs corresponding amino acid is attached (by aminoacyl-tRNA synthetases). tRNAs cope with the degeneracy of the genetic code in two manners: having more than one tRNA (with a specific anti-codon) for a particular amino acid; and 'wobble' base-pairing, i.e. permitting non-standard base-pairing at the 3rd anti-codon position. The record is from RNAcentral. Lineage: Bacteria; Bacillati; Actinomycetota; Actinomycetes; Mycobacteriales; Mycobacteriaceae.